RNAcentral lists this ribosomal RNA (394 nucleotides) under uncultured bacterium. Its description in RNAcentral is "bacterial SSU rRNA". It matches the Rfam family "Bacterial small subunit ribosomal RNA", at positions 28 to 418 of the family's 1533-position model. The record is from RNAcentral.
AACGAACGUUGGCGGUGUGGAUUAGGCAUGCAAGUCGCGCGCGAAAGCCUUCGGGUGAGUAAAGCGGCGAACGGGUGAGUAAUACGUAACCAACCUGCCCCUCAGAUCGGAAUAACCACUGGAAACGGUGGGUAAUGCCGGAUGGUCCCCUCGGACGGCAUCGUCCUUUGGGUAAACGGCGGCUCUGCCGCUGCUGAGGGAGGGGGUUGCGGCCUAUCAGCUUGUUGGUUGGGUAACGGCCUACCAAGGCGANGACGGGUAGCCGGUCUGAGAGGACGAUCGGCCACACUGGGACUGAGACACUGCCCAGACUCCUACGGGAGGCUGCAGUCGAGAAUCUUCCGCAAUGGGCGAAAGCCUGACGGAGCGACACCGCGUGCAGGAUGAAGGCCUU